This 659-nucleotide ribosomal RNA is filed under the name Limosilactobacillus fermentum. RNAcentral's name for it is "bacterial SSU rRNA". It matches the Rfam family "Bacterial small subunit ribosomal RNA", at positions 111 to 755 of the family's 1533-position model. The record is from RNAcentral. Lineage: Bacteria; Bacillati; Bacillota; Bacilli; Lactobacillales; Lactobacillaceae.
UAACACGUAGGUAACCUGCCCAGAAGCGGGGGACAACAUUUGGAAACAGAUGCUAAUACCGCAUAACAACGUUGUUCGCAUGAACAACGCUUAAAAGAUGGCUUCUCGCUAUCACUUCUGGAUGGACCUGCGGUGCAUUAGCUUGUUGGUGGGGUAAUGGCCUACCAAGGCGAUGAUGCAUAGCCGAGUUGAGAGACUGAUCGGCCACAAUGGGACUGAGACACGGCCCAUACUCCUACGGGAGGCAGCAGUAGGGAAUCUUCCACAAUGGGCGCAAGCCUGAUGGAGCAACACCGCGUGAGUGAAGAAGGGUUUCGGCUCGUAAAGCUCUGUUGUUAAAGAAGAACACGUAUGAGAGUAACUGUUCAUACGUUGACGGUAUUUAACCAGAAAGUCACGGCUAACUACGUGCCAGCAGCCGCGGUAAUACGUAGGUGGCAAGCGUUAUCCGGAUUUAUUGGGCGUAAAGAGAGUGCAGGCGGUUUUCUAAGUCUGAUGUGAAAGCCUUCGGCUUAACCGGAGAAGUGCAUCGGAAACUGGAUAACUUGAGUGCAGAAGAGGGUAGUGGAACUCCAUGUGUAGCGGUGGAAUGCGUAGAUAUAUGGAAGAACACCAGUGGCGAAGGCGGCUACCUGGUCUGCAACUGACGCUGAGACUCG